RNAcentral lists this ribosomal RNA (468 nucleotides) under uncultured bacterium. RNAcentral describes it as "partial 16S ribosomal RNA". It matches the Rfam family "Bacterial small subunit ribosomal RNA", at positions 28 to 507 of the family's 1533-position model. The record is from RNAcentral.
GACGAACGCUGGCGGCGUGCUUAACACAUGCAAGUCGAACGGAAAGGCCCUGCUUUUGUGGGGUGCUCGAGUGGCGAACGGGUGAGUAACACGUGAGUAACCUGCCCUUGACUUUGGGAUAACUUCAGGAAACUGGGGCUAAUACCGGAUAGGAGCUCCUGCUGCAUGGUGGGGGUUGGAAAGUUUCGGCGGGUGGGGAUGGACGCGCGGCUUAUCAGCUUGUUGGUGGGGUAGUGGCUUACCAAGGCUUUGACGGGUAGCCGGCCUGAGAGGGUGACCGGCCACAUUGGGACUGAGAUACGGCCCAGACUCCUACGGGAGACAGCAGUGGGGAAUAUUGCACAAUGGGCGGAAGCCUGAUGCAGCAACGCCGCGUGCGGGAUGACGGCCUUCGGGUUGUAAACCGCUUUCGCCUGUGACGAAGCGUGAGUGACGGUAAUGGGUAAAGAAGCACCGGCUAACUACGUG